UUACCGGUGACAAUAGCGUAGAGGCCACACCCGUUCCCAUCUCGAACACGGAAGUUAAGCUCUAUAGCGCCGAUGGUACUACACGGGAGACUAGUGUGGGAGAGUAGGACAUUGCCGGUAUU
Molecule: ribosomal RNA, 122 nt
Filed under: Candidatus Neomarinimicrobium atlanticum
Lineage: Bacteria; Pseudomonadati; Fidelibacterota
Also listed under: 1 other name
Source: RNAcentral